GGUCUCUACCCAUUCUUCCCACCGAGAAUCGUAUCCUCGAUCUUGGAGCAAUCAUGAGGCAGUAACAUACCAAGACAAUGAAGCAUGUGAGCACGAUCGAUGGUGAAGCUGACAAAGCAACUAAUUACCACUCACAAACCACGUCGCAUUUUUGCAUAUGCUGAUUGGCUGCUUCUGAUCCCUUCCACUUCGAACAGUGAGCAGAGCUCGCAACUCCGACCCACAAGCUUUGCCUGCUUUCGAGGAUGCAUGGCGCGCCCCAGGAAGCAAAAGAAUGUUCUGCCACAGGCACACUGGGAGUCUGGGACGAUUCUGAUUGUUGACAAGUAUAAAAGUGAAUUAGCCAUAAGUGCACCCUUUUUUUUAUUCCAUCGACUUAAGCUACAUGCAAUUCAA
This 396-nucleotide unclassified non-coding RNA is filed under the name Zea mays. RNAcentral describes it as "misc RNA Zm00001eb243150". Lineage: Eukaryota; Viridiplantae; Streptophyta; Magnoliopsida; Poales; Poaceae. The record is from RNAcentral.